Dipodomys spectabilis (banner-tailed kangaroo rat) is the source of this 918-nucleotide long non-coding RNA. RefSeq lists it as uncharacterized. The transcript has 2 exons. The record is from RefSeq and is a predicted model, not a curated record. NCBI's taxonomy places the organism in Eukaryota, Metazoa, Chordata, Mammalia, Rodentia, Heteromyidae.
UUUAUGUUGUACUGAGUAAUCAAACCCUGGGGCUUUAUGCAUGGUUGGCAAGCACUCUACCACUGAACCACAUGCCCAGCCCCUGGCUAAAACUUUAAGGCUCCCUUUUUGAAGUGUGGAAUUUUCCUGGGAUAUUCUUGGGCUCAGUUGUUUUGGAUGGUUGUCGAGAUUUUAGAUCUGUACUUUUAUCCAGUUUCGGAAACCAGUAAAUUGAGAAGGAUUAUUUCAGAAAUUUGAUAAACAGAACUAUUCAUUUAAAAACUAGCUGGAAAGGUGGUAGUUUGUCCACCACCUUUAAGAAAGAAUUAGAGCAUGACAUUGUAAAAUGGUCUUUCAGACCAUAUAUAUUGACUUUUUGAUUUACCAUAAGUAUCUUCAGCAGAAUAGUGAAAAAUAAUCACCUUCACCUUAAGGUUCCAGUACUCUUCUCCUGUGUCUGACAGUUUUAUAUACAUUCCUCAAUUAGACCUAUAAGUUUAGAAGAGAUCCAAGGAAUAACUUUGCAUAUCCUGUUUCUAGUAGUCAAUUGUUAGAAUGAAUAAAAAAAGCAUCUCUCUUCCCCAACUCAUCCAUCUAUAGCAUAUCUUAAAUAGGAAACAAACAGCCAAUGGGAUCAGUACUUUAGUAGUCCUGAAGUAAAGGAGAGAGAGCUUUAAUAAUUUGAGACUUAGUACUUUAUACUUUAGGAAGAAAAGAGGAUUAAUAAGUUCAUCCUUCUAGGAAAGUUCGUAGACCAUAACUGAUGCAAAUUAAAGUGCCUGCCAUGAAUGCUGUUGACUCAGCUUUCAACUGAACACAUGGUGUUUCAUUUUACAUGCUUAUAGUUGGCUAAUCUUGUUUGUCUAAAUUUUUAGGUUUAGUAUAUGACUUAUUUAUUUAUUUGCAAAUAAAUGAUGAAGAACUGUUGCAAGAAUGUGA